AUUAGUCUCCUGUUGGAGCGCUGCAGCACAUGAUUAGGAUUUUAUUGCAAAAUUAGCACGGAUAUAACAACACUUUAUAUUAACACUAUUAAGCAGCGCAAACUAAUGGCUGCACACAAACUGU
Etheostoma cragini (Arkansas darter) is the source of this 124-nucleotide long non-coding RNA. RefSeq lists it as uncharacterized. NCBI's taxonomy places the organism in Eukaryota, Metazoa, Chordata, Actinopteri, Perciformes, Percidae. The record is from RefSeq and is a predicted model, not a curated record. The transcript is spliced from 3 exons.